GAGCACGAUAGAAGGGACUACCGCGGUAGGGGAGUCGCGCGCCGUUAACGCCGCCUGGUGGGGUUAACGUCAGGGGCGUGAGCGAAGAAGGGGCGUCCCAGCAAGAGGGACAGGGAGAAGAAGAUAGAGAGUGAAAAAGAGAAAGAGAGUUCCUCUUAGCCUGGUCGUCUACACACCACCUCCGGCGGGUACGUUCAGCUCCACGCGACUUCACGAGUGAAACAUUUCGCGGGUUUCGCGGGGAGCUUUUCCGCAAGACUCGCUGGGUGGGAGGCUCAAGGUGGCGGAGGAGAGAAGGAAGGACAACGGUAUUCCCGUUAAUUGAACGACUCUCUCGCGUGGGGAAGGAGGUAUCUGGAAGGGAGACGCGACACUCUUCUCUACUCUGGAUCGAGAAGAGGGAGAAGGAUUACUUGCAGACCUAACCACCAGUUCGACCAGUUACCGCGGUUCAACUUUGCUGUUUUUCUUAACCAGUAGAUGCGACUUUAGAUAAGAGUUUUGACAAGUGCGCCUGCGACCGUCUAUGGGGUGCCGACUGAACGACGAGCCAUGCCUUCAGGAACUCAGGGAGAGGCACGUACGAGUGAGUGGACAUGACAUCCGCCUACGCUAAGCUACCACCAUCUAAGGUGCGUUUAUUUUGGCGACCUUUACGACACGAGUUUACGAUCGGCUGAACGCAUUCUGUUGAACUUCGUAAUGAUUUUCGGAAGUUUGCGGAAAAAACAUCGAGGAAGAGAAAAAAAGAUUUUUAGACCGUUCAACUCUAUCUCAAAAGGGUUGGUUCCAUCCAGGAGAGACAAUAAAAUUCGUUAAAUUAUUAGCCGUUAUCUUGGACGGGACUAGACAGCAGAAAUAAGAAAGUGAUUCUUUUGAAAAAUGAAAUAGUAUUAAAAAAAAAAAAAAAAAAUGAAAGAAAAAGGAACAACACAACACAACAACGUUCGACGAACGUAGAGAGAAAUGACCUAAUGGUGAAAGAGUAGGAGGGAGGAGAGAAGAAGAGAAAGAAGUGAGUGAAGAAGGUAGAGGGGGUUGAAGAGGGACGCGAAAAGAACGACGCGUAUCGUAGUUCAUGGAGAAAGGAACGAAAAUGUUAAGAAAAGGCAAAGGUUCAACAGGGAUAAGUCCAACAGGAAUAUUGAAAGCCGGUCCUUCGAACGAGGCCAGCGAUCAAGAGAGCCAAUUAUCUCAAAGACCCACCACACCACUACUCCUCGUUCCAACCCUCACCCACCCCCUUUCUCUCUCUCUCUCUCUCUCUCUCUUUUCUUCUUCGCCCCCACAUACGCGUACUCACGUUGAACAUAUUUUUCCUACGUACCUUAUGCGAAUACUCAAAGUACACUCAAGCUACCGAAGUACUCACAUACUCGAAUAGUAUAUUCGAACGCGCGUUCGUUCGUUCGUUCGUUCGUUCGUUCGUUCGUUCGUUCCAUUUCGUUUCGUUUCGUUCGUUUAUUCGAAGAGCACCGUAUACAUAAUACCUACGUACGUAGAUAGAUACGUGGAGGUACAUUAUGCGAAUCGAGCCUCAUAGAUCGUUGCCGUUCUAAUAAAGCUAAGGGUACUUUCUCGCGACUACCCCCUCGCUUCUCCCUCUAUCCUAUUUCUCAAUCUCUUUUUCUCUCCUUCUUUUCUCCUGCUAACAUUUACCUUGUCAACAUUUUUAUUAAAAAAAUAUCGUUAACUUUUUGCACGUCAAGUUUACAUAUAUAAAUAUAUACACAUACGUAUAAGAUAUCUCUGUCUAUUCAAGUAUAAAUUAUUUUCUUAUUUUUGUCGACAAUUUCGAAUCGAAUAGUUCAUUGCUUUAAAUGUAUAUGUGUAUGUUUUAUUUGGGGGUUGUUUCUUAUUAAGAAUACAAUUUCACAAUGGUAGUUUCGAUAUUGAGUUAACGAUUAAUGAAAAAUAACAACGUUGGCGUACCUGUUAUCGUUCUUUGAUAAAUUUAAAAAAAGAAAGGAAAAAAAUACUCUUAGCGAGAAAAACGAAGGACUUUGUGGUGUAGUCCAAGUUAGAUUAUAUGGACCGACGGAGCAAUCUUAUGGAAUGGAGCUACUGAAAUCUUAAUUCGAGUCGGCGCGCUGUGCCAUUGGAUACGUCGACUGGGGGUGGCGCCUUUCAAAAGCGACGCUUACAAGCACGUUACACACACGGUUAGGUAAUUAUAUUUACCUUUUCAGCUUUAUUAUUUAUGUCUGCUGCAAAGGGGUAGAGCCUUAUGGUUCCUCUCUCCUUCCUUCCCCCUCUAACCCCUUCAUCCUCUUUCUUUCUUUCUUUCUUUCCUUUCUUUUCUUUUCUUUUCUUUUCUAUGUUGCACUCGAGGACGAAAAAUCAAAUUACAUAAUCCUUUCCUUUAAUAGUCAGAAGGCUUAUAUUAUUUUUUGAAUGAAAUAACGUUGAGUAAUUCAAAAUAAUCUCUUAACUAUUUCGAAAAUAAUUUUUACUUUACACAGAUUCAUUUUGGAAAAUGUACUUAUUCGAAAAGUUUGUAUGUAACCUCAACAUCGAGUAAACAACUGCAGAUUUUAAUAUGUAUUCAAAUGAGUUUCUAGAUACGCAGAAACCAUGUUGGAAAAAUUACAAGGAAAACUUUUAGCAAGCAGUAUCGAUGUGUAAAAAAAUGUUUGUUUGUUUUUGUUUGAAAAGAUACAAAGACAAAUUAGAUCACGAACGAAGUUGGAACUAUAAUGACAACGAAAAAUGGUUUGAGGUAAUUGAAUAGGACAGCUAUGAAAGAGAACAGGAGGAAAGCAAAAAACUAACUUCGUGUUACGCAAGAUAAAAUUUGAAGAUCCACUUGAAGGCGAGAUGAUCAAGUUGAACCUUGUAGUAGAAUUGCAUAGGAUCAUUUAAGAGUGUGGGAAAGGGUUGGAUAGUGUGGGAAGGUUAAACGAGAACGAGUUAGAGACGGGAUACGAUUCUGCUUGUCUCUGGGACGGAAGUGACGUCGCAGUCACCAGCGGAAAUUCGUACUGGAAAUUCCGAUGGGUUCGAGAGGUUGUGGGAGAAAGAUAGGAAAAUGGGGUGGUAGUCCUUGUUAGACCAAACAGUUACCCAGAGAUUUGAGUAGACCAAGUACCAUUCUUGCUCGAGUUUCCUCGCAAUCCUUGGGAUUGUUUGAAUAAGAUGCCAAUUGAACUUGUCGAAGACAUCGCUGGACCAAGGUUAAACGGACAUUCAGUAUCACGAGGCAAACACAACCUGUAUUGAAUCAUCGAUAGAUGGAUUAAACUAAUUUGAACAUUACAAACGAACUUUGACAUGGUCUUGUUUAAAGUUACGUUAUUCAAGGCGCUAUACUCCAAUUAUAUGUACGGAUAGUACACCGAAGUACUUUGAUCAUAGUCAUUCUCCGUGUUUAUCAUAAAGAUACUUGGAUGCAUUGGUGACGAUCUUGGUGGAUCUUCCCUUUAUUAUUUCUUGUAUUUAUUUAGAAAUCAUUUAUGGUUGAAAAAAAGAGAACACGUUAGAGAAACUGUGGAUAUAUCCGCGAGGUAGAACUUAUACAAGAGUGGAGGAGAAGUUUACGAUUAACUUUCUCGUUUAUCGUACAUCCAAUUUUUUUACCCAUGCAAAAUGAUGAUAUAUUCUUCGUUAGGCACUACGAGUCUACUCUUUCGUCUUUUCUUACUGCAGUUAAUACUCAUUCUACCUUCGUCCUUACCGAAGAGGUAAGUUUCCAUGCGGGUUAGGCGAGUAAUAUGAGCUGCCACUCAAGAGAAGGGCGCCCUGUAUUACUGGCCGAAUAAUUAUGGCAAAGCCCCCUUUGCACGAACAUUGCCCAGCACCUUAGAGCAACCUCGACGAAUACAUUGUAAGGUUAUGACUUUGAAUUGUUCGAAGAAUAGGAAGACGAACAAGAAGAAGAAAAAGAAGAAGAAAAAAAGACAGACAUACUAUUUCGUUUCUGUCACGUGGCUGAACGAGUAAUUAAGUUCUUAUGCAUCUCAUAUUUCUUACAAUAUAAUUUUAUUUAAAAAUAUUGAUUUAAAUCAUAAAGAUGAAUACUAUAUAUAUCUUCAAUCCAUUAUUGUACAUUUCGAUCGAAUAUCGGUUAACAAAACAAAACGAAACGAAACGAAAUGAAAAAAAAAGAAAAGAGAAUAACAAAAAUGUCGAGUUUACAGGUUACUUUAUGAUAGUUAUUCAGAAAGCAAUAACUAUUUCAAAACCACCGAGAGCCGCCUUUUUCUCUUUUACAUUUUUUUCUCUCUCUCUCUUUUUUUUUUUUAACGAACAGUAUCGAUAGAUAUCUCCAUACAUGGGAAUGAAAAAAAUCAUAGGAUGACCAUUGUGGAUGGGCCCUUAGCGCGUUUCGCGCUAACGCAAACGGUUUUGUUACUUUUGUACGAUCCAUACCGCGUGAUACGUUUUGUCACCGAUCGGCAUACCCUUUUAUCCCUUUCUUUCGUACACUAAACAACCCUGCCUAUUUUCAUCUCUCUCUCUCUCUCUUUCUCUCUUUCUCUCAUUCUCCCUUUUAUCCUCACAUAUAAGCUUCGUUAAAACGCACGCUAGCUAGCGACAUAGCAAGCUAGCGAAUCUCGUUUCGGAGUCGCGCGCGUUGCACGAUUACGAGCCGCGAAACGCAUUUUUCGGAUCUAUCAGACUAUAACCGUGACUCUUUCUCUCUCUCUCUCUCUCUCUCUCUCUCUCUCUCUCUCUCACACUCCUAUCACACGUUCGUUUUGUAUUUCCGCUCUCCGACGGGGUAGCCACCACCUUCCUUGUCAUCGUUCCGACAACCCCCUUCCCUCUUCACCCCCCCCAGUAUAGUUUCCACGCGUCUCUACCACUUCCUCCUCCUCCUCCUCCUCCUCCUCCACCACCACCUCCUCUUGUGUCUCCUACAUCUCUUUAUCACCCACGAUAUUCACAGUAACCCCGCACGAACGUCGUUACGAGAGCAAGAGAAUAUGAGAGAGAAUGAGUGUGAGAGAGAAUGAGAGAGAGAGAGAGAGAGAGAGAGAGAGAGGGUGAUAGCGUAGAUGGUACCUGCACGAGGUAGCUCAGCUCUUUGUUUCGUCGUGUCCGCCAUUGUAACCGCUUCCCGUUUGCCAGACUAUCGCGAUAAACAGCCGGAAAACCCACGAUGAAUGACGCGACCACGCUGCAACAGUGUCGUGUGUAGUACUCUCUUUCUCUCUCUCUCUCUCUCUCUCUCUCUCUCUUUCUAGUUCUGUAUAUCUAUUAAUCUCUAUCUUUCUUUAUUUCUUUCUCUUUUUGAUUCUUUUUUAAACUUUAUUUCGUUGGUUAUACAAAAUUGUCCAUAAUUCACGGUAUAAAUGUAAAAAAAAAAAAUGUUCACGUUAAGAUAUAUGAAAUUGUUCGAUGUACGAUUUGAUAAUAUU
Polistes dominula (European paper wasp) is the source of this 5360-nucleotide long non-coding RNA. The record is from RefSeq and is a predicted model, not a curated record. NCBI's taxonomy places the organism in Eukaryota, Metazoa, Arthropoda, Insecta, Hymenoptera, Vespidae.